This 77-nucleotide transfer RNA is filed under the name Candidatus Nitrosarchaeum limnium BG20. Its description in RNAcentral is "Candidatus Nitrosoarchaeum limnia BG20 tRNA-His". It matches the Rfam family "tRNA". From Rfam's summary of the family: Transfer RNA (tRNA) molecules are approximately 80 nucleotides in length. Lineage: Archaea; Thermoproteati; Nitrososphaerota; Nitrososphaeria; Nitrosopumilales; Nitrosopumilaceae. The record is from RNAcentral.
GGCCCUCGUAGUACAGUGGCUAGUAUAGGGGACUGUGGAUCCCCGGACAGGAGUUCGAUUCCCCUCGAGGGCCCAUA